AGUGAACGCUGGCGGCGUGCUUAACACAUGCAAGUCGAACGAGAACGGAUUAUAGCUUGCUAUAAUUGUCAGCUAAGUGGCGCACGGGUGAGUAAUGUAUAGGUAAUAUGCCUCUUACUAAGGGAUAACAAAUGGAAACGUUUGCUAAUACCUUAUACUCCUUAUUAACAGAAGUUAAUAAGGGAAAGAUUUAUUGGUAAGAGAUUAGCCUGUAUUGUAUCAGUUAGUUGGUGGGGUAAUGGCUUACCAAGACUAUGACACAUAACUGGUUUGAGAGGCUGAUCAGUCACACUGGAACUGAGACUCGGUCCAGACUCCUACGGGAGGCAGCAGUGGGGAAUAUUGCACAAUGGACGAAAGUCUGAUGCAGCAGCGCCGCGUGGAGGAUGACACAUUUCGGUGCGUAAACUCCUUUUAUAUGAGAAGAUAAUGACGGUAUUAUAUGAAUAAGCACCGGCUAACUCCGUGCCAGCCGCCGCGGUAA
Molecule: ribosomal RNA, 484 nt
Filed under: uncultured bacterium
Lineage: Bacteria
Description: partial 16S ribosomal RNA
Rfam family: Bacterial small subunit ribosomal RNA
Source: RNAcentral